RNAcentral lists this long non-coding RNA (244 nucleotides) under Glycine max (soybean). RNAcentral's name for it is "long non-coding RNA (GMAX_LNC001014)". The record is from RNAcentral. Lineage: Eukaryota; Viridiplantae; Streptophyta; Magnoliopsida; Fabales; Fabaceae.
CUAGUCAAUGUUAGUAAUUCUUUUGUUGCUACCCUUGGGUGGCAAGCAUGUGCAAAUGACUAUGCUAACCAAGUUUUUCCUACACAUAUAGGUUUAGCCAGAAUGCCUCCAAAUGUUGUCGGCCACAUUGGUUUGCCGAAUGUUACUCUGUUUAUACCUUUUUCUCGGGGAGCAAUCAGGCCAUAAACAGAGGAGUUAACAACGGGGAACACUCAUAUCAGUUUUCAUCCACUGGGGACCACCU